GCCGGUUUGGCUCAGUGGCUAGAGCGUCGGUCUGUGGACCGAAGGGUUCCUGGUUCCAUCCCGGGCCCUGGUU
Non-coding RNA from Myotis davidii, 73 nucleotides. The record is from Rfam. NCBI's taxonomy places the organism in Eukaryota, Metazoa, Chordata, Mammalia, Chiroptera, Vespertilionidae.